GAUGAACGCUGGCGGCGUGCCUAAUGCAUGCAAGUCGAGCGAACGGACGAGAAGCUUGCUUCUCUAAUGUUAGCGGCGGACGGGUGAGUAACACGUGGAUAACCUACCUAUAAGACUGGGAUAACUUCGGGAAACCGUAGCUAAUACCGGAUAAUAUUUUGAACCGCAUGGUUCAAAAGUGAAAGACGGUCUUGCUGUCACUUAUAGAUGGAUCCGCGCUGCAUUAGCUAGUUGGUAAGGUAACGGCUUACCAAGGCAACGAUGCAUAGCCGACCUGAGAGGGUGAUCGGCCACACUGGAACUGAGACACGGUCCAGACUCCUACGGGAGGCAGCAGUAGGGAAUCUUCCGCAAUGGGCGAAAGCCUGACGGAGCAACGCCGCGUGAGUGAUGAAGGUCUUCGGAUCGUAAAACUCUGUUAUUAGGGAAGAACAUAUGUGUAAGUAACUGUGCACAUCUUGACGGUACCUAAUCAGAAAGCCACGGCUAACUACGUG
This 497-nucleotide ribosomal RNA is filed under the name uncultured bacterium. Its description in RNAcentral is "partial 16S ribosomal RNA". It matches the Rfam family "Bacterial small subunit ribosomal RNA", at positions 28 to 507 of the family's 1533-position model. The record is from RNAcentral.